Molecule: long non-coding RNA, 1447 nt
Organism: Mandrillus leucophaeus (drill)
Lineage: Eukaryota; Metazoa; Chordata; Mammalia; Primates; Cercopithecidae
Exons: 5
Source: RefSeq, a predicted model, not a curated record
ACCCACCCCGCCCUCCCAGCGGCGCGCGCCCGCCGAGCACUUAAUUGUAAAUUAAGAUUUGCUGCUGAUGAUGGGCUAAUUUAAGCUACCAUGGAAAGAGGAAAGAAAUGGAAGCUGCCGACUGUAGGAAGCAGUACCUGUACUGCGCAGGGUUGCAGUGACCUAACAUCAAGAAAUAAAAACUCUGGAAAACUAGCCUUUCACAUAUAGAAAGAUCCUCCCAAAGAGCUGGAGCUCCUCUGCCCACAGCCUGCCCCAUCAGAUCAGACCUACAGUAGAAGACACCGAGGAGUAAACACUGUUUCCUGUUUUCAUUUUUUUUUUCAGUUGGACCACCAGCUACUACAACUCUAGAAAAGUGGAGGCACAGAUAUGUGGGUCCCCGAGCCCUGGGGGAGCUGGAAUGGAUACUUGCUAAAACACGGGACAUGAGAUUCUCUUUCCUUUGGAAGGGUCCUGUCGUGGCCCUUCUUGGGUUCUGGACUAUCUUACAGUGUCUGACUUUGGUUUCUGUGGAUCAUGAUAAGCAUUACUCUUUUUUUCCCCCUCAAAUAUCCCACAGCUUCAAACUUACCUGAAUGCAGGUUCCCCGUAAAAAUACCAUCAUGUAAUUUUCACGUUAGCAAUCAGUUUGAUGAACAGCAAAAUUGUUCAAAUGGGAAAGAGGAGAGAGAUAAUAUGGUCUUUUGAUGGAAGGGGAGAGGCAAGAGCCAGCUAAAUCAGAAGAGAGAGGCUCUUGCAGCCCAAGCCUUAAUUUCCUUGUAAGAAUCGAUGCUCACUCAGUGGUGACACUGAGCAUGUGAAAGCUCAACUGUGACACUCCUUAGAAAGUAGUACAGGGAUUUUUUUUCCUUCCCAUUAUCAACUCAUUAAAGGAAGUUAAAAGUACUUACUCUGUCCCACACACAGUGUGUGUGUGACAAUGUCGGAAACAUUGACUGACUCAUAAUAAAUUUGAGAUUGGAUAACAAUUUAUACUACCUUUAUACCUCUCUCCUCGCCCCAAAUUGAAUCAUUAAAAAACAUUUAGUAAGAUCGAAUGUGCAGUUCUGUGGGCAGAACUCCACAAGUCAAAAUAUUCCUGAAUUUAAAUACUCCUGAGGUUUAACAAAUUACUCUGCAAUGCAAUUUGGGAUUUUUCUCUAAGGAAGUACAACAGAGGCACACUCCCUUAAUUUCCAUUGCUCCGUCACAGAUCAGUUGCCUAACAUUCUUCCCUUAGCGUAGCUCCCAGUUGUUGCAUGUAGAAAAGCACUCCACUGAUUCUAACUUGAAAGGUGUGUGCCUCAUGUGUGCUCAGAGAGCAUGUGACAAUCGACAUAAUGAAAAAUCAAACAUCGUUUUGUUGUGUUGCUCCCUACCUCUUUCUUGGAGGUCUCUUCAUCUUCAGUUCCCAUGGGCUGGCCUGGUUCACCAUCUGGCUGUUGGAAAGGAAACUAAACACAUU